CAAGGAGCCGAAAGGCAACUUCAAACCAUCGCGAACGAAUCCAGGUUGCUUCGGCGGCGCGGGACCCCUCGGGGGACCGCGGCCCUCGCCCCGGGGGGCGGCCGCCGGAGGUCACAAACUCUCAUGUAUUACAGUGGCGUCUCUGAGUAAAAAACAAGUAGUCA
RNAcentral lists this unclassified non-coding RNA (164 nucleotides) under uncultured Sordariomycetes. RNAcentral's name for it is "sequence contains ITS1". Lineage: Eukaryota; Fungi; Ascomycota; Sordariomycetes. The record is from RNAcentral.